This 373-nucleotide ribosomal RNA is filed under the name uncultured Bacteroides sp. RNAcentral's name for it is "bacterial SSU rRNA". It matches the Rfam family "Bacterial small subunit ribosomal RNA", at positions 22 to 395 of the family's 1533-position model. Lineage: Bacteria; Pseudomonadati; Bacteroidota; Bacteroidia; Bacteroidales; Bacteroidaceae. The record is from RNAcentral.
GCUCAGGAUGAACGCUAGCUACAGGCUUAACACAUGCAAGUCGAGGGGUAGCAGGGUAGCAAUACCGCUGACGACCGGCGCACGGGUGAGUAACACGUAUCCAACCUACCGUCUACUCGGGGAUAGCCUUUCGAAAGAAAGAUUAAUACCCGAUAGUAUAAAGAGUUCGCAUGUUCUCUUUAUUAAAGGAUUCCGGUAAACGAUGGGGAUGCGUUCCAUUAGAUUGUUGGCGGGGUAACGGCCCACCAAGUCUUCGAUGGAUAGGGGUUCUGAGAGGAAGGUCCCCCACAUUGGAACUGAGACACGGUCCAAACUCCUACGGGAGGCAGCAGUGAGGAAUAUUGGUCAAUGGGCGCUAGCCUGAACCAGCCAA